CUUUUUGUCUUUUUAGGGCUGUACCCGAGGCAUAUGGAGGUUCCCAGGCUAGGGGUCCAGUCGGAGCUCUAGCCACCAACCUAUACCACAGCCACAGCCAUGCUGGAUCCAAGCUACGGCUGCAACCUACACCACAGUUCACGCAACACUGGAUCCUUAACCCACUGAGCAAGGUCAGGGAUCGAACCCACCUCCCCAUGGAUGCUAGUCAGGUUUGCUAAUCACUUGAGUCACAAUGGGAACUCCUUAAUUAAUUUUCAAUCUUCUUCCAUUCUCAAUUGUCUUUAUUAACCUUAAAGCCUUUUCCUAAACAUUAAAUAUCUAGAGAUAUAAACUGAAUUUUAAUUGCUUGGUGCCCCAAUUCUUUAUUUUCUUUCUAGUCACCCUAAAUCCCAAGGCAGUCAUGGCACAGAUUUUCUUUGCUCUGAUCUUUGUAUUUCUUAUAAUACUCUUUCCACAAACAUAAAUACACUUCUUAAACAACUGUUUACAUGGUACUGUGCAGACUACUUAUAAUAGCAAUUAACAUUUACUUCCAUCUAGAGUGUCUUGUCUUCAUGAUGACCUUUAAUUUUACUCUAAGACCCCAAAUCAAAUUUAGCUUAUGAGACUAAGCUAAAUCCUGUAUCUGACACAAACUGUCUUCAGUACCCUAUUCUCAAUGUGAAAAAUACAGUAAGAGUUCAAUAAAUAUUAAAUAAUAAAACUGCUUCUCUCUAAAUUAGACUACUGUUUAGUUUUAUAAAUAGUGAAUUCAUCUCUCUUCUCUUCUAUAUACAGUCACCCCAUCAGUAGGCUCUUUUUCAGAGUAGCCCCGCAAGAUAAUCUUAUUAAAUUGCACUGAGUGAUAGUUCUGUUUUUAAUUUAUACCUGUUAAUUUUUAAAAAAGGAUAUUAUCUACAAUUGGGCUUAUUAAUCUUUUCUAAGAACUAUGGAGGUUUUAGGUAGACUAUAAGAGAAGCGUAUCAGGGAGUUCCCGUCAUGGCUCAGCAGUUAACGAAUCUGACUUAGUAUCCAUGAGGACUUAAGUUCGAUCCCUGACCUUGCUCAGUGUGUUAAGGAUCCGCUGUUGCCAUGAGCUGUGGUGUAGGUUGCAGAUGCACUGCUGUGGCAUAGGCCAGCAGCUGUAGCUCUGAUUAGAUCCCUAGCCUGGGAAUCUCCAUAUGCUAUGGGUGCGGCCUUUGGGGAGAAAAAAAAAAAAAAGAAAGAGUGAAGAAUAUCAGGGCAUAACAUUUUCAUGGGACACCCCCCUGCAUUAGCAAAUAUCACCCUAUACACUAUACAAUUUUUUUAAAAGGUGAUUUGGAUUUUUAAUGUUAAACAUAAAUUGCCAAUACCAGAAUUCAUUUCUUUAAGCACAAAUAAGUAUUAUAUACAGGAAUAUCUAUGGGCACUGAGUUAUACGUAAAAACAACACAAAGGCAGGAUUCCAUAGUCAUAGAACUCAGUAUAGUAGGAGACAGACUUUAUCAAACAUUAGAGAGAUAAACUAAAUGCUGCAAAGAAAAAAAAAAUACUCUAAGAACAUAUAAUAGAGAAAUACAUAUUACUAUGAAAGUUCAGGGAAGGCUUUUUCCAAGAAAACAAAAGGUGAGGUUACCAAAGUUGAGGAGGAAGAAUGAAAUGAUUUAGGAAAUUGUACAAAGUCCCAGUGGAGGUUGAGUCCCAUAGUCCUGGAGGAAGUGACCUAGCAGAGCAGCCAUUAGAACAAGGAAAAACGGUGAGAGAUGAGUCUAGAUAGCUAAGCAGGAUUUAGCUAAUGCAAGACCUUGUUGGCUAUAGAAAGAAUUUUGGUUGUCAUCCUAAGAAUAACAGAAUGCUAUUGAAGAAUUUUAAGCAUGUGUAUGACACAGAAAGGUUUGAAAAGGACACUUUAGUGUGUACUUCUGCAAAGAAGACUAAAGAGUUUGAGUUAAUAUUUGAAAACUGGGGAGUGUUCACAGAAGUGUAAGAUAUAAGUUUCUGAGAUAUAUUUAUGAAAUCCUGACUCCCAAUCAAUGCUCUUGCCUCUAAACCAGGAGCAUUUUGAUUGAAUUAAGAUUAUUUAUGAAAUAAUCUUAUUACUUCCAUUUUUGUUUUAUUGUAACUAUAUACUACAAGUAAAAAGCUCUGAUUUAAGAACUAAUUCUCACAUUUCUUAGGAUUAAUUAAUGAAGCAUUUAUAUAACUUGGUAUUUUGGAUGCUUAUUUUUUAUUACUCACAUAUCCUUAUGUUAAUAUGUCAUUUUAACAUCUGAAAUAAAUUUUGAAACUUAUAGUUUAUGCAAUUAAAGUUACAGAUUUUAUAGUAAAAUACUAUCAUAUAGAUGUGUUCUCAUUAAUAUUGUGAGUACCAAUGUCUCAAAUGAAUAAAAUUAGUAGGCAUAGAUGUACAGUUUUAAAAUGUUUUUAUUUCAUUUAAUAGCUUUCUGAGAGAAUCUGUACUUGAAAUAUAUUACAGCAUGCAAAUUUCACAGCUACUAGCUUGAUUAGAAACAGAAAGUCACCUUAGAUUUCCUCGCAUUAUGUCAAAGGGAUCCAUUUGAAUUUUGUCUAACAAUGUCUUUUUUUACAUGGGAGAACUGACGAGGCUAUGAAGUCAACAUAUGUUGUAUUUAGGAACAUGCAUGAUAAAACUAUGAAUCAGAUUUAAUGCCCUUUUCAGGGUGUUAAACUCAAGUACAAUAAGGGUCAGGAAGGUAAAACAAAUUUUUUUUUUUUCCUUUUAGUCAUAGAACUUAAGUCCUUGAAAAUCUGAUACAUAGGUCCUUGGAUCUUCCCCAAUGUUGUUAGAAUCAUCCAGGUCCUGUGUCUUACAUUCCUCACAUCCUUAAUGGACCCAAAUCUUGCUCUCAAUGCUGGUACCAAUAAUCAUGUGGGUCACUGUUUUCAGUUUCAGAGACUCCUCUUUACAAAAUAGUUUUACAUGACAUAUUAUAUAAAUUGCAGUCUCCUGGAUAACCAUAAAACCUGGUCAAAAGAGCAAGAAAAAAUUCCCAACACACCCUUGGACAACUCUAGCAAAAAUGUCAAUAGCAUUGCACUCAGCAAUGACUACCCAAUAGCGCUUCCCAAUAUGGAUGGGGAAGUAAAUUAUUUAACUUCAAGUUAAUUAUUAUCUAUCAUUGCACUGUAAAAAAAAUGUUCUUUUCAGAAAUAUCUUGCUUCAUAGUGCUCCAUUAGCUGAUCAUAAUUGCAGACCUCAGAUUGCUGUAUAAACAGCUAAUACUCAACCGUCUUAUUAGUUCCAGUGGCUUUUGAUGCUGCCAGUUUUUUUCUAUAUAGAGGAUUACAUAAUUUGCAAAUAAUGACAUUUUAGUCCAAACUCUUUCAAUCCAUACACUCUCAUUUUUCUCUCUCUUCUUCCUUUACUUGGUCUCUCCAUAUUUCUGUCUUCUCUUCCUUCCCCCCUCCCUUCCAUCUUUUUUUAAACAUAUUUUGGCUAUGUCUGUAGCAUGCAGAAGUUUCCCAGGACCAGGGAUUGAACCUGCACCACAGCAGUGACAAUGCCUGUCCUUAACCCACUGCACCACCAGGGAACUCUCUCCUUUCCAUGUUCUUAUACCAUAAGACAUUUAGUACUACAAUAAAGAGUGGCUAUGCUAAUGAGAAUCUCUGUCUUUCUCUUAUUCUCAAUUGGAAAGUGUCUAUAUAGGUAUUUGGUAUAUAAUUUUCACCAUAUUCGGAAAGCCUCCUUAUUUAUACUGUCAUAUCUAUUUUUUUAAGCAUUAAUCUUUAUCAAAUGCUGUAAUCUGUGAUAUAACAGGAACUGCAGCUGCUAACCUACGCCACAUCAACACCACAUCUGAGCCAUGUCUGUGACCUACACCAUAGCUCACAACAAUGCUGGAUCCUUUACCCACUGAGAAAGGCCAAGGAUCGAACCUGCAUCCUCAUGGAUGCUAAUUGGGUUGGCUUCCACUGAGCCACAAGGGGAACUGCUAUACACUUUCUUCUCUAGUUCAUUAAUGUGGUAAAUUAUAAUGCUAACAUUUUUCAAUAAAUAUUUGGGGGGAUAAUUCUUAUACGAUAUGACACAUUAGUUUUAAUACACUGUUGGAUUCACUGAAGAAUUAUUUUAUCUAGGGAGUUCUCAUUUAUAUUCAUAAGAGAAACAGAUGUAUUUUUUCAUAUUUUCUUUAUGUGGUUUGAGAUUAUACUGACUUCAUAAAGUGUUACCUUUAGCUAUUUCUCUCUUCUUUUGGAAAAAUAUGCAAACGUCUUCUUACUUUGGAAGUUUCUAGAAUUUGCUCUUUUACAAGUUUAAAUUUUAAAUAUAACAUUCUGAUUUACACAGGUUUCUUUUAACUAGGGAGUAUGGUUUCCAUAUGUAGUUUCAAUGAGAAGAUAAACUAUAAAUGUUAUAAGUUUAUUAACAUUAUUUCUUCAAACAUUGCUUUCAUUUUGGUAUUUUAUAUCUAACUACUGACAAUUUUACUUCUGUUCUCCCAAUUUCUUAGUAUUUAUCUCACUGUCUUUUCCUAUUCCUUUAAAAUUGUCAUCUAUUCCUUCUUUAACUGUCUGUAAUCAGCAUUUUAUUCAUCUAUCACAAGUAAAAUUUAUACUUAAUAUUUUCUGUAUAUUACUAAUAUUUUUCCAUAAUAAACUUCCAUAAAAUGUAUUACAAUUAAAUUCUUAUUCUAUCUCUUCCAAAAUUCAGCAUCAUGUGUUACAUAUGUUAUUUUUUAUAGCAGAUUUACUUUUCAGAUAUUACUUUGUCUUAUAACUUCAUGUUCCCCUGGUAGUAUCAGCUAACAUUUUUGAUAAUUCAUUACAGGAGGCAGGUCCUAGCUGUGGCCAUCCAGGCGAACUAAGGGACAUUAGAGAGAUAAUCCCCAGGUUCAAGAAUAUCAUGAAUCUUCAAUAUAUUUUGAUCAUUGUUGUGACUUACCAUUCUAACCACUAAUUCUGUCCUCAGUUCCUCCUUAUAUGCUGAAUUACAAGGUCUAGGCUAAAUUACUGUAUCAAAGAGACCCAGCGUUAAAAUAGCUUCCACAGAAGAGAACUGUGUUCCUUUUUCACUUAAUAGUCAAGAGGGAGUUGUCUAGAGCUAGUGAAGUGGCCACAAAGUCACUGAAAGACUAAGAAUAAAAGGUGGCUCUGAGUCCAAGUUGGCUGGUUAUCAUUUUUAUGACAGCAAGAAAGGAAGGCAUGGGAAGGACAAGAAAUUUUCAAUUAUAAACACAGAAACUAGACAUGUAAACAUUGUUUCCAUUUAUAUUCCAUUGACCUGAAUUGUAUCAUAAGGCCACAUGUAGUUACAAAGGAAGCUAGGAAACAUAACAUCUAUUUGGGCAGACUUGUGCCCUGCUACAAUUCAGGUGGUUCUAUUACCAAGGCAACAAAGUCUGAAUAGAUGCUAGAAGAUAAUUACCAAUUUCUUAUACAAGAAAAAUUACUCUUAGGAAAAAUACUCAGAAAAUCCUGUGUAUCUAAGACUCAUAUCACUAAUCCUUCGGUUUGGAGGAGGUAAAUAUAAAGCAAUGAACUUCCAAUCUUGUCCUACACUUGAUCCCUUGGCAUUUCAGGCCAUCAAGGCCUAUUUUUAGGACACUGCUAGAGAGUUCUGUGGUGAUGGCAAUAAUAUUCCCAAGACAAUGUGAUUCUAGGAUCAGAAUUUUAAAACUCUUUUCCACUGUAGUCUUGUGCUGCAAUUAUCCUUUCUCCCAGGAUGCUGUUAAU
This 5661-nucleotide long non-coding RNA is filed under the name Sus scrofa (pig). RNAcentral describes it as "lncRNA (ENSSSCG00000060591.1)". Lineage: Eukaryota; Metazoa; Chordata; Mammalia; Artiodactyla; Suidae. The record is from RNAcentral.